RNAcentral lists this ribosomal RNA (270 nucleotides) under uncultured bacterium. RNAcentral describes it as "partial 16S ribosomal RNA". It matches the Rfam family "Bacterial small subunit ribosomal RNA", at positions 75 to 339 of the family's 1533-position model. The record is from RNAcentral.
UCUUCGGAAAGACACUAAGCGGAUUAGUGGCGAACGGGUGAGUAACGCGUGAGUAACCUGCCUUACACAAGGGGAUAGCCUUUGGAAACGAAGAAUAAUACCCUAUAAAACCAUAAAAGCACAUGCUAGAAUGGUCAAAGUGAUAGCGGUGUAAGAUGGACUUGCGUCUGAUUAGCUAGUUGGUGAGAUAAAAGCUCACCAAGGCAACGAUCAGUAGCCGGCUUGAGAGAGUGUACGGCCACAUUGGGACUGAGACACGGCCCAGACUCC